GCCUCACGGAGAGUGUGAGGUAAGGCCUGCUCAAUGUUAAAUAGCCGCAGUAUCCUGACUGUGCAAAGGUAGCAUAAUAAUUUGCCUCUUAAUUGGUGGCUGGUAUGAACGGCUAAACUGAGUAGAAGGUCUUAGAACUUGAACUUAAGCUUAAGGUAAGAACGCCUUAAUUAACCCCAGGGACGAUUAGACCCUAGGAGCUUCUCCAGGCUUUUGAUUGGGGCAAUCAAGGGAAGAGACCAAACUUCUAUAAGUUACCCUAGGGCUAACAGCGUGAUCUAAGGCUUGAGUACCUAUUGGACCUUAGGCUUACGACCUCGAUGUUGAGUUAAGAGGUGCAGGAGCCCUAGUCUGUUCGACUAGUAACCUCUUACA
This 375-nucleotide ribosomal RNA is filed under the name Dampetrus sp. RNAcentral describes it as "partial large subunit ribosomal RNA". It matches the Rfam family "Bacterial large subunit ribosomal RNA", at positions 1833 to 2600 of the family's 2925-position model. Lineage: Eukaryota; Metazoa; Arthropoda; Arachnida; Opiliones; Assamiidae. The record is from RNAcentral.